GACGAACGCUGGCGGCGUGCUUAACACAUGCAAGUCGAACGGAAAGGCCCUGCUUUUGUGGGGUGCUCGAGUGGCGAACGGGUGAGUAACACGUGAGUAACCUGCCCUUGACUUUGGGAUAGCUUCAGGAAACUAGGGCUAAUACCGGAUAGGAGCUCCUGCUGCGUGGUGGGGGUUGGAAAGUUUCGGCGGGUGGGGAUGGACUCGCGGCUUAUCAGCUUGUUGGUGGGGUAGGUGCUGACCAAGGCUUUGGCGGGUAGCCGGCCUGAGAGGGUGACCGGCCACAAUGGUCCUGCGGUACGGCCCAGACUCCUACAGGAGGCAGCAGUGGGGAAGAUUCCACAAUGGGCGGAAGCCUGAUGCAGCAACGCCGCGUUCGGGAUGACGGCCUUUGGGUUGUAAACCGCUUUCGCCUGUGACGAAGCGUUAGUGACGGUACUGGGUAAAUAAGCACCGGCUAACUACGUG
This 468-nucleotide ribosomal RNA is filed under the name uncultured bacterium. RNAcentral's name for it is "partial 16S ribosomal RNA". It matches the Rfam family "Bacterial small subunit ribosomal RNA", at positions 28 to 507 of the family's 1533-position model. The record is from RNAcentral.